GCUUGACUCUAGUUCGACUUUAUGAAAUGACUUGAGAGAUGUAGAAUAAGUGGGAGCCUUUGGACAAAACGAAAUACCACUACCUUUUAUCUUACUUAUCCCAUAGAUCAUAAGCAGGAUAUCGCCUUUUUUUUUCUCUAAGCCCUAGCUCUGCCGAGCCUAUCUGGAUGGAAGCUAUUGUUAUAUGGGAAGUUUGGCUAGGGUGGCACAUCAUCCUAGACGACGAUGCAACUGUUCGACUAGAUCUUUCGCCACACAUCCUUCUACCACCUCCCCUCCCUAUCCAUCCGCCCCUUCUCCAUUAUUAUCCGCCGGACCACAAUAACCCGUGACCGGUCAUGCGAAAAAU
RNAcentral lists this non-coding RNA (349 nucleotides) under Dichanthelium oligosanthes. RNAcentral describes it as "Eukaryotic large subunit ribosomal RNA". It matches the Rfam family "Eukaryotic large subunit ribosomal RNA", at positions 2420 to 2793 of the family's 3401-position model. The record is from Rfam by way of RNAcentral. Lineage: Eukaryota; Viridiplantae; Streptophyta; Magnoliopsida; Poales; Poaceae.